This 673-nucleotide ribosomal RNA is filed under the name uncultured Enterobacteriaceae bacterium. RNAcentral describes it as "bacterial SSU rRNA". It matches the Rfam family "Bacterial small subunit ribosomal RNA", at positions 28 to 688 of the family's 1533-position model. Lineage: Bacteria; Pseudomonadati; Pseudomonadota; Gammaproteobacteria; Enterobacterales; Enterobacteriaceae. The record is from RNAcentral.
AUUGAACGCUGGCGGCAGGCCUAACACAUGCAAGUCGAGCGGCAGCGGAAAGUAGCUUGCUACUUUGCCGGCGAGCGGCGGACGGGUGAGUAAUGUCUGGGAAACUGCCUGAUGGAGGGGGAUAACUACUGGAAACGGUAGCUAAUACCGCAUGACCUCGAAAGAGCAAAGUGGGGGAUCUUCGGACCUCACGCCAUCGGAUGUGCCCAGAUGGGAUUAGCUAGUAGGUGAGGUAAUGGCUCACCUAGGCGACGAUCCCUAGCUGGUCUGAGAGGAUGACCAGCCACACUGGAACUGAGACACGGUCCAGACUCCUACGGGAGGCAGCAGUGGGGAAUAUUGCACAAUGGGCGCAAGCCUGAUGCAGCCAUGCCGCGUGUGUGAAGAAGGCCUUAGGGUUGUAAAGCACUUUCAGCGAGGAGGAAGGCAUCAUACUUAAUACGUGUGGUGAUUGACGUUACUCGCAGAAGAAGCACCGGCUAACUCCGUGCCAGCAGCCGCGGUAAUACGGAGGGUGCAAGCGUUAAUCGGAAUUACUGGGCGUAAAGCGCACGCAGGCGGUUUGUUAAGUCAGAUGUGAAAAUCCCCGCGCUUAACGUGGGAACUGUAUUUGAAACUGUCAAGCUAUAACUCUUGUAAAGGGGGGUAGAAUUCAUGGUGUUGCGCAUAAAUG